CACUCCCAGUGCUCAGUUGCCUGAGAGUAGAACUGUAUUUGAGAUAUGGAAACUCCUAUCUUAUAUCUAAAAAGCGUUGUUGCUACCUGGUUGAGCUCCAGUUCCGCUUCCUGGGUGAUUGGGACCAUCAUCCCCAACCUGUGUGGACUGGGGCUCUUCCUUCUGUUCCUUCCCUCCCUCCAGAGGAAUUUGCCCUUACAACCACCUUACAAAGGGAGAAAGUUCAGGAAGUGUCAAGAGGAGCCGAGAGGGAGGAGCAGCAGGAGCAGGAAGAAAAGGGGAGCUUUGAAAGCUUACAGAGCUGGCUGGAAGGACCUGGCAGAAUUGGGGGGCCUGAUGUCCCUUUCACAAAGCUACCUGGAGAGGCUGUCUUGUAAGGGAUGCUUCCAUGGCUUGUCAUCUCAAGACUCCCCUGGCAAAGCGUGCAAGACAGCGUCUGCUAGUGUCCACCAGCCAUGCGGGAAGCCUGUGGAAGGUGCUCCUCUCACCAUGAAUCCAGCACUUUCCCUGGCUCUUCUGACCCAGCGCACUCUACCUUUGGCCUCCACUCUGCCUGCAGAACCUCCAUCUGCCUUGACCAGAACUCCACUAGGCCCUGUUGCCACGAGCUCAGCUCUAGCUCACUCCUGUUUCCCAUCUACCAACUCAGGCCAUGGCCACACGAGCUGUCGCAUUGAGUUCCUCAGCAAAUCUAUGAAUUAUCCGUUUGUUGGUUUGAGUCAAGGGUGGAGGAAAUGUCCUGUAGAAAGUUCCAAGCGUGCCAGGUCUUCGUUUUCUUACUGGACAUGGGCUAGUUUAGGAGCAUCGUGUGAUGGAGUAUAAAGCGUGGACUUUGAGUACAACCGGGUCUGGGGCUGAACGCAAGCUUAGCCAUUCUUGAACUGCCUGACCUAAGACAUGUUCUUAACCAUUCUGAAUUUCAGUUUCUCAAUCCGGGUAAAGAGAAUAAUAAGAUUUACCAGUAGGAGUUAUAGGAUUUAGUUUCUUUUCUGGUUCUCUGAUCUACUCUGUAAUUUUGGCAAGUCAUGUGACCUCUUCAGGCCUACUUAUCUUUGAGUGAAAAUGAAGGUCUUAGUGGUUCUCCACAGGAAUAUGGAUUUUCUCCCACCUGGGGGCAUCUGGAGGUGUGUGUGGUGUUUGUUGAUUGUCAUGAAACUAAGGGAAUCAAGAACGUAAAGUGCCCUGUAAGGGGGAGGACAGUCCCAUACAACAGAGAAUUGCUCCAUCAGAAAAUCAACGUAGCCCUGUUGUGAAACCCAAUUAGAUAAUCUCUGAAGUCCUUGUCACCUUAGCAUUUCAUCAUUUUACUCUAUGUCAUUGUUUCCUUACCAUAACGAUGGAUGAAGUAGAUAAUUAAAUGCUAUGAGCCACCCUGCCACACAUGAG
Molecule: long non-coding RNA, 1386 nt
Filed under: Equus caballus (horse)
Lineage: Eukaryota; Metazoa; Chordata; Mammalia; Perissodactyla; Equidae
Description: lncRNA (ENSECAG00000042991.2)
Source: RNAcentral